GGUUUAGUAGUCAAGUAUGAUUUUAAAUUGCAAAUUUAAAGGUAAAUUUUUUUCUAAGCUU
This 61-nucleotide transfer RNA is filed under the name Tenebrionoidea sp. 6 KM-2017. Its description in RNAcentral is "tRNA-Cys". The record is from RNAcentral. Lineage: Eukaryota; Metazoa; Arthropoda; Insecta; Coleoptera.